This 253-nucleotide ribosomal RNA is filed under the name uncultured bacterium. RNAcentral's name for it is "partial 16S ribosomal RNA". It matches the Rfam family "Bacterial small subunit ribosomal RNA", at positions 524 to 776 of the family's 1533-position model. The record is from RNAcentral.
UACGCAGGGAGCUAGCGUUGUUCGGAAUCACUGGGCGUAAAGCGCGUGUAGGCGGCUUUGCAAGUCGGGUGUGAAAGCCCUCAGCUUAACUGAGGAAGUGCGCCCGAAACUGCAGAGCUUGAGUACCGGAGAGGGUGGCGGAAUUCCCCAAGUAGAGGUGAAAUUCGUAGAUAUCGAGAGGAACAUCGGUGGCGAAGGCGGCCUUCUGGACAGUGACUGACGCUGAGACGCGAAAGCGUGGGGAGCAAACAGG